UACAUGGGGUGCAAACGUUGCUCGGAAUUAUUGGGGGUAAAGCGCACGUAGGCGGUUUGUUAAGUCGGAUGUGAAAUCCCUCGGCUCAACUGAGGAAGUGCAUCCGAAACUGGCAAGCUUGAGUACGAAAGAGGGUCGCGGAAUUCCCGGUGUAGAGGUGAAAUUCGUAGAUAUCGGGAGGAACACCGGUGGCGAAGGCGGCGACCUGGGUCGAUACUGACGCUGAGGUGCGAAAGCGUGGGGAGCAAACAGG
RNAcentral lists this ribosomal RNA (253 nucleotides) under uncultured bacterium. RNAcentral describes it as "partial 16S ribosomal RNA". It matches the Rfam family "Bacterial small subunit ribosomal RNA", at positions 524 to 776 of the family's 1533-position model. The record is from RNAcentral.